This 428-nucleotide ribosomal RNA is filed under the name uncultured archaeon. RNAcentral describes it as "bacterial SSU rRNA". It matches the Rfam family "Archaeal small subunit ribosomal RNA", at positions 474 to 903 of the family's 1478-position model. The record is from RNAcentral.
UACCUGCAGCUCAAGUGGUGGCCGCUAUUAUUGGGCCUAAAACGUUCGUAGCCGGUUUAGUAAAUGCUUGGGUAAAUUGUGUCGCUUAACGAUACGAAUACCGGGUAGACUGCUAAACUUGGGACCGGGAGAGGCUAGAGGUACUCCUGGGGUAGAGGUGAAAUUCUGUAAUCCUGGGGGGACCACCAGUGGCGAAGGCGUCUAGCCAGAACGGGUCUGACGGUGAGGAACGAAGCCCUGGGGCGCAAACCGGAUUAGAUACCCGGGUAGUCCAGGGUGUAAACGCUGCUCGCUUGAUGUUAGUUGGGCUCCGAGCCCAACUAGUGUCGGAGAGAAGUUGUUAAGCGAGCUGCCUGGGAAGUACGGUCGCAAGACUGAAACUUAAAGGAAUUGGCGGGGAGCACAGCAACGGGUGGAGCGUGCGGUUU